AGCGAACGCUGGCGGCAGGCCUAACACAUGCAAGUCGAACGAUCCUUCGGGAUAGUGGCGGACGGGUGAGUAACACGUGGGAACGUGCCCUUUGGUUCGGAACAACUCAGGGAAACUUGAGCUAAUACCGAAUGUGCCCUUCGGGGGAAAGAUUUAUCGCCAUUGGAGCGGCCCGCGUCUGAUUAGCUAGUUGGUGAGGUAAUGGCUCACCAAGGCGACGAUCAGUAGCUGGUCUGAGAGGAUGAUCAGCCACACUGGGACUGAGACACGGCCCAGACUCCUACGGGAGGCAGCAGUGGGGAACCUUGCGCAAUGGGCGAAAGCCUGACGCAGCCAUGCCGCGUGAAUGAUGAAGGUCUUAGGAUUGUAAAAUUCUUUCACCGGGGACGAUAAUGACGGUACCCGGAGAAGAAGCUCCGGCUAACUUCGUGCCAGCCGCCGCAGUAA
This 447-nucleotide ribosomal RNA is filed under the name uncultured bacterium. RNAcentral's name for it is "partial 16S ribosomal RNA". It matches the Rfam family "Bacterial small subunit ribosomal RNA", at positions 29 to 523 of the family's 1533-position model. The record is from RNAcentral.